Molecule: unclassified non-coding RNA, 460 nt
Filed under: rhizosphere metagenome
Description: partial ribosomal RNA internal transcribed spacer region
Source: RNAcentral
GUAGGUGAACCUGCGGAAGGAUCAUUAACACGUAUUUUACGUUCCACACCAUGUGCUCAAGUUCCUUGUGCUGAGAAAAUGUCGAUUCACCGGCGUGACGUAUGUGCUUUUGUGUUUUGCAAGUCGAAGGCCUCGGUGCGGCCCCUCCCCGGCAACGGGGUCAAAUGUGGGUACAUUGGCUUCGACUUGUUAGACAUUUGAAAGCAGCGGGACCACAGGACACAUGAGAGGACUUCUUUGAGAAGGUUCAUCCUCUCGUUCUGCGGAUACCGUUUGACGUUGCGGUUGUUCAACCGGGGUGCUCGACACUUGGAACUUUUUCUUAUUUGAACCCCCUCAGUAACCAACAAACCAGUGUAACUAUUGGACUAAUCCAUACUGUUGAUUGUGAGCAGCAAUGCUCCCAUCAAUCUUGUACGGCAACUUAAUACAACUCUUAGCAACGGAUAUCUUGGUUCUC